RNAcentral lists this ribosomal RNA (322 nucleotides) under uncultured eukaryote. RNAcentral's name for it is "partial 18S ribosomal RNA". It matches the Rfam family "Eukaryotic small subunit ribosomal RNA", at positions 1470 to 1796 of the family's 1831-position model. The record is from RNAcentral.
CCCUUAGAUGUUCUGGGCCGCACGCGUGCUGCACUGAGUGGAUCAGCGGGUCAGGUUGCGCGAAAGUGUUUCCUAAUCUUGAAAUCCGCUCGUGAUGGGGAUUGACGGUUGCAAUUUUCCGUCAUGAACGAGGAAUACCUUGUAAGCGCGGGUCAUCAUCCCGCGCUGAAUACGUCCCUGCCCUUUGUACACACCGCCCGUCGCUCCUACCGAUUGAGUGGUCCGGUGAGGCUUUGGGAUCUGAGCGGAAAGAGCGUUUCGCUGUUUCUGCUCGGAAAACUCAGUCGAACCUUAUCAUUUAGAGGAAGGAGAAGUCGUAACA